AUUGAACGCUGGCGGCAUGCCUUACACAUGCAAGUCGAACGGCAGCACGGGUGCUUGCACCUGGUGGCGAGUGGCGAACGGGUGAGUAAUACAUCGGAACAUGUCCUGUAGUGGGGGAUAGCCCGGCGAAAGCCGGAUUAAUACCGCAUACGAUCUACGGAUGAAAGCGGGGGACCUUCGGGCCUCGCGCUAUAGGGUUGGCCGAUAGCUGAUUAGCUAGUUGGUGGGGUAAAGGCCUACCAAGGCGACGAUCAGUAGCUGGUCUGAGAGGACGACCAGCCACACUGGGACUGAGACACGGCCCAGACUCCUACGGGGGGCAGCAGUGGGGAAUUUUGGACAAUGGGCGAAAGCCUGAUCCAGCAAUGCCGCGUGUGUGAAGAAGGCCUUCGGGUUGUAAAGCACUUUUGUCCGGAAAGAAAUCCUUGGCUCUAAUACAGUCGGGGGAUGACGGUACCGGAAGAAUAAGCACCGGCUAACUACGUG
Molecule: ribosomal RNA, 486 nt
Filed under: uncultured bacterium
Lineage: Bacteria
Description: partial 16S ribosomal RNA
Rfam family: Bacterial small subunit ribosomal RNA
Source: RNAcentral